Meriones unguiculatus (Mongolian gerbil) is the source of this 672-nucleotide long non-coding RNA. RefSeq lists it as uncharacterized. NCBI's taxonomy places the organism in Eukaryota, Metazoa, Chordata, Mammalia, Rodentia, Muridae. The transcript has 3 exons. The record is from RefSeq and is a predicted model, not a curated record.
UCACUUGGGAGAUUCUGCUAUGAUACGUCUGAAAAACCAUCCUGAGAGGAGACAGCUCCAUGCGUAAGGUCCUUCCCGCACAAGCGUGAGCACCAUGUUCAAUUUCCAGAGCCCACGCAAAAAGUCAGGUGAGGCAGCAUCUAUGUGUUGAUCCCAGAAUCCCAGCGCUGGGGAGGCAGAACCACGAGGAUCCCUGGGGCUCGCCGGCCAGACAUCUUAGCCUAAUCGGUAUUCUGUCACAGCAACGGAGAGCUACUGGUAGUCUGAGGAUUUUAGAAGGCCCCAGCGCUGCCUGAACUGUAUACGCUGGUGCAUGCCUGCAGUCCUGGCACUCUGCAGGCAGAAGCAAGAGGACCGGGAAUUGAAGGUUAUCGUUUGCUACAUGGAUGAUCAACAUAAAACCAGACACACUAAACCUGUUAGAAGAAAAAGUGGGGAAGAACCUUGAACUCAUUGUCACAGGAGACAACUUCCUGAACAGAACACCAACAGAACAGGCUCUAAGAUCAACAAUCAAUAAAUGGGACCUCAUGAAACUGAAAAGCUUCAAUAAAGCAAAGGACACUGUCAUCAGAACAAAAACGACAGCCUACAAAUUGGGAAAAGAUCUUCACCAACCCUAUAUCUGAUAGAGGCCUAAUAUCCAGAAUAUAUAAAGAACUCAAGAAGUUA